GCCGGGGUGGCGGCAUGUGCCUGUAGUCCCAGCUACUUGGGAGGCUGAGGCUGGAAGAUUGCUUGAGUCCAGGAGUUCAGGGCUAUAGUGUGCUAUGCCAAUCAGGUGUCCGCACUAAGUUCGGCAUCAAUAUGGUGACCUCCCAGGAGCAGGGGAUCACCAGGUUGCUUAAGGAGGGGUGAACCAGCCCAGGUUGGAAACAGAGCAGGUCAAAACUCCCCUGCUCAUCAGUAGUGGGAUCGAAUCUGUGAAUAGCCACUGCACUCCAGCCUAGGCAACAUAGCAAGACCCCAUCUCU
This 298-nucleotide signal recognition particle RNA is filed under the name Saimiri boliviensis boliviensis (Bolivian squirrel monkey). RNAcentral describes it as "Metazoan signal recognition particle RNA (ENSSBOG00000008346.1)". It matches the Rfam family "Metazoan signal recognition particle RNA". Rfam says of the family: The signal recognition particle (SRP) is a universally conserved ribonucleoprotein. It is involved in the co-translational targeting of proteins to membranes. The record is from RNAcentral. Lineage: Eukaryota; Metazoa; Chordata; Mammalia; Primates; Cebidae.